UCCUCGAUCUGCUGGGGGCAGAUGAAGUGGAUGUGGGCGUCGAUGCCCCCGGCGGUGAGGAUCAUGCCCUCGCCGGCGAUGACCUCGGUGCCCGGGCCGACCACGAUGGUGACGCCCGGCUGGGUGUCCGGGUUGCCGGCCUUGCCGAUGCCCUGGAUGCGCCCCCCCUUGAUGCCCACGUCGGCCUUGACGAUGCCCCAGUGGUCGAUGAUGAGCGCAUUGGUGAUGACCGUGUCCGCCACGGUCUCGCCCCAGCGCUGGGACUGGCCCAUGCCGUCACGGA
Molecule: small RNA, 283 nt
Filed under: Thioalkalivibrio sulfidiphilus HL-EbGr7
Lineage: Bacteria; Pseudomonadati; Pseudomonadota; Gammaproteobacteria; Chromatiales; Ectothiorhodospiraceae
Description: Thioalkalivibrio sulfidophilus HL-EbGr7 5' ureB small RNA
Rfam family: 5' ureB small RNA
Source: Rfam by way of RNAcentral